GAUGAACGCUAGCUACAGGCUUAACACAUGCAAGUCGAGGGGAAACGACAUCGAAAGCUUGCUUUUGAUGGGCGUCGACCGGCGCACGGGUGAGUAACGCGUAUCCAACCUGCCCAUCACUUGGGAAUAACCUUGCGAAAGUAAGACUAAUACCCAAUGAUAUCCCACGAAGGCAUCGGAAUGGGAUUAAAGAUUUAUCGGUGAUGGAUGGGGAUGCGUCUGAUUAGCUUGUUGGCGGGGUAACGGCCCACCAAGGCAACGAUCAGUAGGGGUUCUGAGAGGAAGGUCCCCCACAGUGGAACUGAGACACGGACCAAACUCCUACGGGAGGCAGCAGUGAGGAAGAUUGGUCAAUGGGCGAGAGCCUGAACCAGCCAAGUAGCGUGCAGGAAGACGGCCCUAUGGGUGGUAAACUGCUUUUAUAAGGGAAUAAAGUGGGUCACGUGUGACUUUUUGCAUGUACCUUAUGAAUAAGGACCGGCUAAUUCCGUG
Molecule: ribosomal RNA, 492 nt
Filed under: uncultured bacterium
Lineage: Bacteria
Description: partial 16S ribosomal RNA
Rfam family: Bacterial small subunit ribosomal RNA
Source: RNAcentral